Molecule: long non-coding RNA, 593 nt
Organism: Marmota monax (woodchuck)
Lineage: Eukaryota; Metazoa; Chordata; Mammalia; Rodentia; Sciuridae
Exons: 2
Source: RefSeq, a predicted model, not a curated record
GCCCCGCUUGGGUCUGCAGCCCGCCAGCUCCCCCGGGCUGCCAGUCGAGCCCCGGGUGGGGCUCACUGGCCGCUGCCCGGUCAUCUGCCAGAGCCCAGGGCCCCGCCUAGGCCCUCCACGAUCCGCCCCGCGGCGCGGGCCGCAGGCUUUCCUAAGUAAGAAAGGUUGCCACAUCUCGGGUUUGCCGCGGACUAACUGGUAAAACCGCAGGAUGAGCCACAUACGACUGCAUUCGGAGGCCGGAUCCGUCCCGUGACUCCGGAACAUACUGGGCGACCUCCGGCUGCCGCCUCCUGACAGCCCAUAGACGUCCAACCCCGCUGUCCGUAAGGGGAAACUUCGAGAUUGAAGGCCUGAGACUUUAUUCCCAACGGUCUGCCUAAAUCUCAGACAUAGACCGGUAGAGUUGAGGUGCUGGAGAACGGAGUAUCAUCCUCUAAACCUACGACCCACCGCCAUGCCCGAUUCCCAGUUCGGGCGUCAUCCCACCCGUCCCUUCCACUACCUUUUCCCACUCUGCCUCAGUUCUAGGAGCCCUCCCUCCACCAAUCUCACAAGGCUCAAUAAAUACCAAAAGAUCUGCAUUUACAGCA